UUGGACCCUUGCAAAAUUUAACCGAUUCAACGAAGCGACUUUCAAGGCGCUAAGAAAAAUAGUAAACAUAGCGAUAAAAUUAUAAAAAAUUGGAGAAUUGUAGCAAAUUUAAUGUAGAUUUAAAAUAUAUAAACCAUUAAAGGCUUAAAUUUUUUUCUUUAUGAGUAAAUUAAUUUUUUUGGACCCUUGCAAAAUUUAACCGAUUCAACGAAGCGACUUUCAAGGCGCUAAGAAAAAUAGUAAACAUAGCGAUAAAAUUAUAAAAAAUUGGAGAAUUGUAGCAAAUUUAAUGUAGAUUUAAAAUAUAUAAACCAUUAAAGGCUUAAAUUUUUUUCUUUAUGAGUAAAUUAAUUUUUUUGGACCCUUGCAAAAUUUAACCGAUUCAACGAAGCGACUUUCAAGGCGCUAAGAAAAA
Sitophilus oryzae (rice weevil) is the source of this 415-nucleotide long non-coding RNA. RefSeq lists it as uncharacterized. NCBI's taxonomy places the organism in Eukaryota, Metazoa, Arthropoda, Insecta, Coleoptera, Curculionidae. The transcript is spliced from 3 exons. The record is from RefSeq and is a predicted model, not a curated record.